UAGGGAAUCUUCCGCAAUGGGCGAAAGCCUGACGGAGCAACGCCGCGUGAGUGAUGAAGGUCUUCGGAUCGUAAAACUCUGUUAUUAGGGAAGAACAAAUGUGUAAGUAACUAUGCACGUCUUGACGGUACCUAAUCAGAAAGCCACGGCUAACUACGUGCCAGCAGCCGCGGUAAUACGUAGGUGGCAAGCGUUAUCCGGAAUUAUUGGGCGUAAAGCGCGCGUAGGCGGUUUUUUAAGUCUGAUGUGAAAGCCCACGGCUCAACCGUGGAGGGUCAUUGGAAACUGGAAAACUUGAGUGCAGAAGAGGAAAGUGGAAUUCCAUGUGUAGCGGUGAAAUGCGCAGAGAUAUGGAGGAACACCAGUGGCGAAGGCGACUUUCUGGUCUGUAACUGACGCUGAUGUGAGAAAGCGUGGGGAUCAAACAGG
RNAcentral lists this ribosomal RNA (429 nucleotides) under Actinomycetes bacterium. RNAcentral's name for it is "Actinobacteria bacterium partial 16S ribosomal RNA". It matches the Rfam family "Bacterial small subunit ribosomal RNA", at positions 355 to 776 of the family's 1533-position model. Lineage: Bacteria; Bacillati; Actinomycetota; Actinomycetes. The record is from RNAcentral.